CCUACGGGAGGCAGCAGUGAGGAAUAUUGGUCAAUGGCCGCAGGGCUGAACCAGCCAAGCCGCGUGAGGGAUGACGGUCCUAUGGAUUGUAAACUUCUUUUGUCAGGGAGCAAAGGGCGCCACGUGUGGCGUUUUGCGAGUACCUGAAGAAAAAGCAUCGGCUAACUCCGUGCCCGCAGCCGCGGUAAUACGGAGGAUGCGAGCGUUAUCCGGAUUUAUUGGGUUUAAAGGGUGCGCAGGCGGAAUGUCAAGUCAGCGGUAAAAUUGCGGGGCUCAACCCCGUCGUGCCGUUGAAACUGGCGGUCUUGAGUGAGCGAGAGGUAUGCGGAAUGCGUGGUGUAGCGGUGAAAUGCAUAGAUAUCGCGCAGAACUCCGAUUGCGAAGGCGGCCUGCUGGCCUGUAACUGACGUUGAGGCUCGAAAGCGUGGGGAGCAAACAGGAUUAGAUACCCCUGUAGUC
Molecule: ribosomal RNA, 459 nt
Filed under: uncultured bacterium
Lineage: Bacteria
Description: partial 16S ribosomal RNA
Rfam family: Bacterial small subunit ribosomal RNA
Source: RNAcentral